This 105-nucleotide small nuclear RNA is filed under the name Procavia capensis (Cape rock hyrax). The record is from RNAcentral. Lineage: Eukaryota; Metazoa; Chordata; Mammalia; Hyracoidea; Procaviidae.
GUGCUCAUUUCAGCAGCCCAUGUACUAAAAUUGAAAUGACGGAGAAGAUUAGCAUGGCCCCUGUGCAAGGAUGACACACAAAUUCGCAAAGCAUUCUAUAUUUUU